This 318-nucleotide ribosomal RNA is filed under the name Androctonus crassicauda. Its description in RNAcentral is "partial 16S ribosomal RNA". Lineage: Eukaryota; Metazoa; Arthropoda; Arachnida; Scorpiones; Buthidae. The record is from RNAcentral.
GAAAGAGUAAACCAGGAGGGAUUUUUUAUAAUUGAGAAAAUGAAUUCUUUUUAGUAAAAAGGCUAAAAUGAAUCUUGACAACAAGAAGACCACCAAAAACUUUAUAUUUUUUGUCUUUAAUUGAAGGAGAAAAAAUAUUACACUGGGGCGGUGAGGAAAUAAGACUUUCUUUAAAGAAAUAAACGAACUUGUUAUAAUACCUAAAAAUUUUAAAAUAGAAAUAAGAUACUUUAGUAACAGCAGCAUCAUCCACGAAAGUUCUAAUUGACAAGUGAGUUGACCUCGAUGUUGAAUUAAAAUACCUUUUGUUGCGCAAAA